UGACAGAAGUGGUACUGCUAGCCUAACCGAGGGAAAUCAAGGACAUACUAGUCCUAGAGAAACGAGCAUGGGACUGUUCCAGUUUGUCUCUGCUUUGAAACUUGCUUUCCCUGCAUCUGAAAGUCAAGAAUGAGACAGCAUCCUAAACAGAAGACUAGGAGAGAAGCUAAACUGAAAUGUGGAUGUUUUGGGAGUCAGAAAGGAAACUUAUGAGUUGCAGUUUCUACAAGUGGCUAAUGCAGGGUCUGUACAUCCUAUCACUUUAACAGAAACUAAGUGAAAUUGCUACACAGCAAAGAGAAGUGACCAGAUAAGUUGCUGAAAUAAAAAUUCC
This 334-nucleotide long non-coding RNA is filed under the name Apteryx owenii (little spotted kiwi). RNAcentral's name for it is "lncRNA (ENSAOWG00000004459.1)". Lineage: Eukaryota; Metazoa; Chordata; Aves; Apterygiformes; Apterygidae. The record is from RNAcentral.